CAACAACAAGUCAUUUUUUAGCAAAAAACAAAACCGACUUCUGUUCCCAUAUAAACAUUUAAGAUCAACGUCAAUUUCUUCAUGAUCCAAUGAUCGGAUUUAAACCAAUGUAGUAUGGGACAACCUGUGAGGU
Molecule: long non-coding RNA, 133 nt
Organism: Rhagoletis zephyria (snowberry fruit fly)
Lineage: Eukaryota; Metazoa; Arthropoda; Insecta; Diptera; Tephritidae
Source: RefSeq, a predicted model, not a curated record